ACGCUCGACACCUACGGGAGCAGCAGUGGGGAAUAUUGCACAAUGGGGGGAACCCUGAUGCAGCGACGCCGCGUGAGGGAAGAAGGUUUUCGGAUUGUAAACCUCUGUCCUUGGUGACGAUAAUGACGGUAGCCAAGGAGGAAGCCACGGCUAACUACGUGCCAGCAGCCGUGGUAAUCUGAGCGGGCUGGCAAGGC
Molecule: ribosomal RNA, 197 nt
Filed under: uncultured bacterium
Lineage: Bacteria
Description: partial 16S ribosomal RNA
Rfam family: Bacterial small subunit ribosomal RNA
Source: RNAcentral